Molecule: transfer RNA, 80 nt
Filed under: Pseudomonas phage K8
Lineage: Duplodnaviria; Heunggongvirae; Uroviricota; Caudoviricetes; Vandenendeviridae
Also listed under: 2 other names
Description: tRNA-Pro
Rfam family: tRNA
About the family: Transfer RNA (tRNA) molecules are approximately 80 nucleotides in length.
Source: RNAcentral
UCUCCUCGUAGCUCAGUCUGGUUAGAGUGUCGGAUUUGGAAUCCGAAGGUCGAAGGUUCAAAUCCUUCCGGGGUGACCAA